Molecule: ribosomal RNA, 464 nt
Filed under: uncultured bacterium
Lineage: Bacteria
Description: partial 16S ribosomal RNA
Rfam family: Bacterial small subunit ribosomal RNA
Source: RNAcentral
ACGCACGCUGGCGGCGUGCUUCACCCCUGCCAGUCGUACGGUAAGGCCCUUUCGGGGGUACACGAGUGGCGAACGGGUGAGUAACACGUGAGUAACCUGCCCACAACUUUGGGAUAACGCUAGGAAACUGGUGCUAAUACUGGAUAUGUGCUCCUGCUGCAUGGUGGGGGUUGGAAAGCUCCGGCGGUUGUGGAUGGACUCGCGGACUAUCAGCUUGUUGGUGGGGUAGUGGCCUACCAAGGCGGCGACGGGUAGCCGGCCUGAGAGGGUGACCGGCCACAUUGGGACUGAGAUACGGCCCAGACUCCUACGGGAGGCAGCAGUGGGGAAUAUUGCACAAUGGGCGCAAGCCUGAUGCAGCAACGCCGCGUGCGGGAUGACGGCCUUCGGGUUGUAAACCGCUUUCAGCAGGGACGAAGCUUUUUGUGACGGUACCUGCAGAAGAAGCACCGGCUAACUACGUG